This 423-nucleotide transfer-messenger RNA is filed under the name Caldilineaceae. Its description in RNAcentral is "Bin34 sp009841145 Standard tmRNA". It matches the Rfam family "transfer-messenger RNA". From Rfam's summary of the family: Bacterial tmRNA, also known as 10Sa RNA or SsrA, is named for its dual tRNA and mRNA-like properties. Its role is to liberate the mRNA from a stalled ribosome. To accomplish this part of the tmRNA is used as a reading frame that ends in a translation stop signal. RNAcentral also lists the same sequence under 1 other name. Lineage: Bacteria; Bacillati; Chloroflexota; Caldilineae; Caldilineales. The record is from RNAcentral.
GGGGAUGAACAGGCUUCGACGGGGCAACUGGAUCCGCGAACCGCAAGCCGUGGAGCGACUCCCACGUAAAAAAGGCGCACACAACAUACAAGUGCCAAGAACACAGGUAUGAGCUUCAACUUUGGCUUCACCGCUGCUCCCGCCCUUGGCGGCGUGGCUGCGUAGACCAAAGUUAGGCAUCCGGCCCAACUCCGGUUGGGUCUCGGUCCACGGGAAUGCCGCCCGCAGGUUUCCGUGAGGCCGUCAGACACUGGGGGAUGCAGCAGCCGGACGUCGAUAGGGCUGCCCAAGACCAUCGACUCGCCCCUUCGUCCCCGUCGCCGGGGAUACGAAGUCGGCUAAAGCCACAAUCCGGCGACUAAGCUUGUAGACGUUUUCGGGACACUGUUUCGGACGCGGGUUCGAUUCCCGCCAUCUCCACCU